AGCAAUUGUUUCCUCUUGGCUGCUGUUGCUUUAUUAGGUCUGAACAACGGAAGAGAAAAGGCAAAGAAGCAAGCCCCUUUCAGAGAGAUGCAGAGCAGGGGGGAGAAGUUGCCUAUACACAGGAACGGGAGAUGAAUACUCACCCAGCAAUUAUGCCCGUGCACUGAGACAUGUUUCGGAACAAGUGUCAAACCUUUACCUGGAGCGGCAGUUCAGUUCUCUGGAUCUUUCCUACCUACUAUGCUUAAGCUGGGCACAGGACCUAUAUGGAAGAAGCAGCUCAGGGAAUUGCUGUCUAUAAUGUCUCCUCCCACUGCAAGCAGCUCCAAAGGUGUAUAGAAUCUACAAACAGGUAACAAUUUGCCUUCCUCUCUGCUUUUUAAUAGAGUAGAAUAGUUUGGAGAGGCAACUUUAAGAAAUGUACGGAACACAGAAGCCAUCAGCAGUCCUAACCAGGAAUAACUUUUCUUUUAUCUCAUUUAUUCAAUUUAUUUUUGGAUAUGCCUCCACUUCUGCUAGUCUGUCAACUGUCUUUGUCACUUCCCACCUGUCCCCUUUAAGCAAGGCAGAGAAUAAACUGGUUGUUAUCAGGAGCAAGAAGCUCUCGAAGGAGGGACUGGUCAAGGGUACACAUUUUCAGCUUUGUAGGAUGAAUAAGUUCCAGAGUGGAAAUGUACAACAUGGAGUUCAUAGUAACAAUUACUAUUAGACAUGUGAAAUGUACUACAUGAAGAUAUCUUAAGUAUCCCAGACCACAUCCAGAGCUACUUACAUUGAGGCAAUGGAUCUGGUAAUUAGCUUGACUGUAGCACAAUGUAUAUCAAAACCUCAAGCUUGGGCACUUUAAGGAUAUAUGUUUCAGAUGUCAAUGCUGCCUCAAGUUGUUUUAAAAGAGAAAGAUAUUACUUAAACAGUACCUUACAGAGUUUCUAGCAUCUUCAGUAGGAAAGAGCCUAAAAGAUCAUGUUAACUAUUAUCAGAAUAGGAAAGAGAUCGUCCAAAGCUGCAAACCUACCAAAUAACAAAGCUAGGAUUUAAGCCUAAGUCGGUCCAAGUUCAAAGGCAGAGGCUUCUAAGAGGAAACAAGACCUGUUUAGGAAAGAAACUUCUGAAAGUACACAGUAGCCUGUUAGUUUUUGCGGGAGAGAGAACUGCUGGUUCGGAAGAGCCUUAGAACCCUAAGAUGCCUUCUUUUAUUCCUUGAGUGGGAACUUGUUAACUGAACUGAGCUCUGGAGCUCUAAAGCUACUAAGCAGAGGUAAGGGGACAGGCAUUUCAGACAAGACAAGAAUUAAUACAAACAGGUGUUUCUCUGGAGCAUAAUUGAGGCAGCUUUGUCAGCGGUGGGUGAAAACUGCAUAUAGUGUCUUCAUAAAAAUUCUAGUUCUAAGAGAAAGACACACUGCAGUGGAGCAGUUGCAGCUAUGCAAUAGUGGACAUGUGCAAGUGCUCCAACAGGAAGAAACAGAUGAUUUUGUGAGGUCUCAUUGAGGCCAGGGGCUCAAGGAAAGAGAACUUCUACAAGUGAUGCUUGCUCUGAGUUCUGAGAGCAAAUAGGUCACAAUCAUGCAACUAUAAAGGUGAAGGGCAUUUCAGACAGAGGCAGUCUGUUCAUAAUGUCCAGUUCAGCAGCAUUAAAUGUAUCCACAAUGUUGCACAAAGCACUAUCUCACUGUAAACUAUUCAUCCGCUCUGCUUACAGCUCUGUACCCAUAAAACAAGGACUCUCUUUUUGCCUCCUCACAAUCCCUGGGAGUGUCCAUUUUUUUAUACAGGUAGCUCAUAAAGGUGUAAUUGCAUGAUAUUCACUUUGAAUACUAUUACUUUUGUGUACAUUGUACAUGUAUGUGUGCAUGUGUGUGGGCAUCAUAUGUGUGGAGGUCUGUAAUGAGGCCAGAGCUUGGUAUCCCAUGUCCUUUCCCAUAGUUUUCCACCUUAUAUGCUGAGGCAGGGUUUCUCAGAUGAAGCCAGAGUUCACCAAUUUGAUUCAGCAGGUCAAGUCAAAUUUCCAGAAUUCGCUGAGUCCAUCUCCUGAGCACUGUGAUGACAGUCAGACUGUUAUGCCCACCCAGCAGUUACAUGGGUACUGGCAAUCUACAAGUCUUCAUGCUUUCAUGGCAAAAUGCGUCCUUUGCAGUGGAAUCAUUACCUGAUGACCAGGCAUGUUAUUUUAAAAGAGCAAAAUGGGAAGCAGAAGCUGAGAAACUCUACAUCACUCAAGAGUGUCUGCAUGAUGUUCACCCAUCAAACCGAAAGACGCCUAAGUGGAAGGUGGCUUUGGGCGAGGGGAAUACCUGCUGGCUUGCUGAGACCCAGAGAAGGAAAACAAAGUGAAGUAAAUUGCAUGUUCUCUUCUCUACUCCGGCUGCCAAGGCUUUGUGCAGACAAUGCUGAGAAAUUACAAAGCCUGGAGGAGGUUCAGCUGUGCAAACGUGCAUCUCUCUGCCAUCUGCCUCUUCAUCUUGUCUCUUACAAGAUGAAGAUUAUAGAGAUAUGUACACAUGUGCAUGCACAUAUGCGUGUGCAAUGAUUCUAUACCAGGUGUUGUACAAAGCUAUUUUGGAAGGUGGCAAAAUUAGAUAGCUGAGUAAACAUGAGCUCGACUAAGACAUUUUUGUGGUGAGACAAAAUUUCAUGUUUGAUCUAAGUAGCUGCAAUUUAGACGCUCACACUCACUGCUCUGCAAGGUUUUUGGCUAAGGAUGGUAGAAGAAGUAUCUAAAGAAUCUGCUUAAGGGGUUAGAGCAAUAGGCAAACCAUCUAGUGUUAUGUGUCACAAUGAGAAAGCAGUCUUCAGAACGAGAACUAUAGCGUUCUGGUGCCUGCUCUUAUAUUCUGUAAUACUUCUGCUACCCUGUUUGGCUGACAAAAGUGAUACAUGCAUAUGUCUUCCCAAGUCUCUCCAAAUAUCUGUGUGUGUGUGUGUGUGAAUAUAUCACAUAUACAU
Mus musculus (house mouse) is the source of this 2946-nucleotide long non-coding RNA. RefSeq annotates it as predicted gene, 39517. Lineage: Eukaryota; Metazoa; Chordata; Mammalia; Rodentia; Muridae. The record is from RefSeq and is a predicted model, not a curated record. The transcript is spliced from 4 exons.